UUAUAGUUUAGUGGCGGACGGGUGAGUAACACGUGAGCAACCUGCCUUCGAGAGGGGAAUAACGGCUGGAAACGGUCGCUAAUACCGCAUAACAUACGGGAGGGACAUCCCUUUUGUAUCAAAGAUUUAUCGCUCGAAGAUGGGCUCGCGUCCGAUUAGGUGGUUGGUGAGGUAACGGCCCACCAAGCCGACGAUCGGUAGCCGGACUGAGAGGUUGAACGGCCACAUUGGGACUGAGACACGGCCCAGACUCCUACGGGAGGCAGCAG
RNAcentral lists this ribosomal RNA (269 nucleotides) under uncultured bacterium. RNAcentral's name for it is "partial 16S ribosomal RNA". It matches the Rfam family "Bacterial small subunit ribosomal RNA", at positions 85 to 354 of the family's 1533-position model. The record is from RNAcentral.